This 482-nucleotide ribosomal RNA is filed under the name uncultured bacterium. RNAcentral's name for it is "partial 16S ribosomal RNA". It matches the Rfam family "Bacterial small subunit ribosomal RNA", at positions 28 to 507 of the family's 1533-position model. The record is from RNAcentral.
GACGAACGCUGGCGGCGUGCUUAACACAUGCAAGUCGAACGCUGAAGCUCAGCUUGCUGGGUGGAUGAGUGGCGAACGGGUGAGUAACACGUGAGUAACCUGCCCCCUUCUUUGGGAUAACGCCCGGAAACGGGUGCUACUACUGGAUAUUCACUGAUUCUCGCAUGGGGGUUGGUGGAAAGGUUUGUUCUGGUGGGGGCUGGGCUCGCGGCCUAGCAGCUUGUUGGUGGGGUGAUGGCCUACCAAGGCUUUGACGGGUAGCAGGCCGGGGAGGGUGACCGGUGACAUGAGGACUGGGAUACGGCCCAGAGUCAGGCGGGAGGCGGCAGUGGGGAAUAAUGCACGAAGGGCGAAAGCCUGAUGCAGCGGCGACGCGUGAAGGAUGGAGGCCUGCGGGUUGUAGACCUCUUUCGAGAAUGGUCAAGCCGCAGCUUUGGGUUGUGGUGAGGGUAGUGGGUAAAGAAGCGCCGGCUAACUACGUG